CCUACGGGAGGCAGCAGUGAGGAAUAUUGGUCAAUGGACGAGAGUCUGAACCAGCCAAGUAGCGUGAAGGAUGACUGCCCUAUGGGUUGUAAACUUCAUGUAUAGGGGAAUAAAAUGUUCCACGUGUGGGAUUUUGUAUGUACCAUAUGAAUAAGGAUCGGCUAACUCCGUGCCAGCAGCCGCGGUAAUACGGAGGAUCCGAGCGUUAUCCGGAUUUAGUGGGGUUAAAGGGAGCGUAGGGGGAUUGUUAAGUCAGUUGUGAAGGUUUGCUGCUCCACCGUAAAAUUGCAGUUGAAACUGGCAGUCUUGUGUACAGUAGAGGUGGGCGGAAUUCGUGUUGUAGCGGU
Molecule: ribosomal RNA, 347 nt
Filed under: uncultured bacterium
Lineage: Bacteria
Description: partial 16S ribosomal RNA
Rfam family: Bacterial small subunit ribosomal RNA
Source: RNAcentral